AGAGUUUGAUCAUGGCUCAGAUUGAACGCUGGCGGCAGGCUUAACACAUGCAAGUCGAGCGGGGAAAGGUACUUUGCUACCUGACCUAGCGGCGGACGGGUGAGUAAUGCUUAGGAAUCUGCCUAUUAGUGGGGGACAACAUCCCGAAAGGGAUGCUAAUACCGCAUACGUCCUACGGGAGAAAGCAGGGGACCUUCGGGCCUUGCGCUAAUAGAUGAGCCUAAGUCGGAUUAGCUAGUUGGUGGGGUAAAGGCCUACC
This 259-nucleotide ribosomal RNA is filed under the name uncultured bacterium. Its description in RNAcentral is "partial 16S ribosomal RNA". It matches the Rfam family "Bacterial small subunit ribosomal RNA", at positions 8 to 269 of the family's 1533-position model. The record is from RNAcentral.